AUUGAACGCUGGCGGCAGGCCUAACACAUGCAAGUCGAACGGUAACAGGCAGCAGCUUGCUUCUUUGCUGGCGAGUGGCGGACGGGUGAGAAAUGUCUGGGAAACUGCCUGAUGGAGGGGGAUAACUACUGGAAACGGUAACUACUACCGCAUAACGUCGCAAGACCAAAGAGGGGGAGCUUCGGGCCUCUUGCCAUGGGAUGUGCCCCGAUGGGAUUAGCUAGUCGGUGGGGUAACGGCACACCUAGGCGGCGAUCCCUCGCGGGUGUGAGAGGAUGAGCACCCGCACUGGAGCUUAGCCACGCUCCAUGCUCCUACGGGAGGCCGCAGUGGGGAACAUUGCACAGUGGUCGCAAGCCUGAUGCAGCCAUGCCGCGUGUAUGGAGAAGGCCUUCGGGUUGUAAAGUACUUUCAGCGGGGAGGAAGCGAGUAAAGUUAAUACCUUGGCUCAUUGACGUUACCCGCAGAAGAAGCACCGGCUAACUCCGUG
This 490-nucleotide ribosomal RNA is filed under the name uncultured bacterium. RNAcentral's name for it is "partial 16S ribosomal RNA". It matches the Rfam family "Bacterial small subunit ribosomal RNA", at positions 30 to 507 of the family's 1533-position model. The record is from RNAcentral.